This 1987-nucleotide long non-coding RNA is filed under the name Sus scrofa (pig). RNAcentral's name for it is "lncRNA (ENSSSCG00060005854.1)". Lineage: Eukaryota; Metazoa; Chordata; Mammalia; Artiodactyla; Suidae. The record is from RNAcentral.
AGUGAGAACCCUUGGGUGCAGACUCUGCUGUAAUUUGGGAAGAGUUUUUGAUUUUAACAGAGACAGUCCCAUGCACUUACCUCCCCUGCUUCAUCUCCCCUUUCUAAAGCAUCAUUUUCAGUUUAGGUGAAUGUCAUGGUAGUGAGUCAAGACUUCUACUCUUAAAGCUUAUUGUGCAAAAAAAUUCUGCAGCAUUUGUGAGAUUUCCCCUAAACUUGUUCAACUCUCCCAGAAUUGCUCUCCUCUCCUAGAAUUGCUUUGGAAUUAGUAAUUACUUUUGGGUCUCUACACUGCUGUAUCACUCUUUCUCUAACCAGCAUAUUUAAAAUAUUAUUUUGCUAGGUUGUAAUUCUUCCUUUGGUUGAAUGUUGUUGUUGUUUGAAUUUUUUAUUCAUUUUAAUAAAUUUGGAAGAGGGGAAUUUGGGCUUUGUGAAAAUGACUUUUUUUUGGCUUCUAAGGGUCAAAAUUUUUAUCUGCAAAAUGGGAACAAGCAAUUACUACUCUUUCUGUUUGGGGGAGUUAAAGUAGACAAUGUAUUAGAAAGGGCUUUGUGAUAGGCAACCUAGCAUUACACCAUAAGGAACUAAAAGGGAAACAAACUAAGCCCAAAGUUGCAGAAGGAAAGAAAUAAUAAAAAUUAGAGCAAAAAUAAAUGACAUAGAGAGUAGGAAAGCAAUAGGAAAGAUAACAAAAUUAAGAGGUAGUUCUUUGAAAAGAUUUUUUAAAAAAUCUGACAAAUCUUUGCUAGACUAACCAAGAAAAGGAGAGGACUCAAAUAAAUAAAAAUUAUAAAUGAAAGAGAAGACAUUACAACCAAUGCCACGGAAAUACAAAGGCUCAUAAGAGACUACUAUGAACAAUUAUAAAUAAACAAAUUGGACACAUAUAAAAAUGGAUACAUUCCUAGAAAUAUAUAACCUAUCAAGACUAAAUUAUGAAGUAGAAAAUCUGAACAGACUAAUUAUGAGUAAGGAGAUUGAAUCAAUAAUCAAAAACCUCCCAAAGAAAAGCUCAGGACCAGGUGGUUUCUCUGGUAAGUUACCAAACAUUUAAAGAAGAAUUAAUACCAAUCCUUUGUAAACUCUUCGAAAAAACCAAAGGGAAAGAACACUCCCAAACUCAUUUUACAAGUAUUAUCCAGAUACCAAAGCCAGAUAAGAACAUUAUCAAAAAAGAAAAACCUCGGACCAAUAUCCCUGAUAAAUAUAAAUUGCGAAAAUUCUUGACAAAAUGUUAGGAAGUUCAACAGCACAUUAAAAGGAUCAUACAGCAUAUUAAGUGGGAUUCAUCCUGGAAUGCAAGAAUGGUUCAACAUAGACAAACCAUAAACAUGAUAUACCACAUUAAUGAGUGAAAAAUAAGCAUUAUAUAAUCAUCUCAAUAGGUGCAGAAAAAGCAUUUGACAAAAUUCAACAUCUUUUCAUGGUACAGACUCUCAACAAAUUAGGUAUAGCACCUCAACAUAAUAAAGGCCAUAUAUGACAAGCCCACAGCUAACAUCAUACUCAGCAGUGAAAGGUUGAGAAAUUUUCCUCUAAGACCAGGAAAAAGAUAAGGGUGCCCACUCUCACUACUCCUAUUCAACAUAAUUCUGGAAGUUCUAGACAGAGUAAUAAAGCAAGAAAAAGAAAUAAAAGCAUUCAAAUAGGAAAGGCAGAAGUAAAAUAGUCUCUGUUUGCAGAUAACAUGAUCUUGUACAGAAAAACCUAAAGACUUUAUUUAAAAAAAAAAUAACGGAAUUUGGAGUUCCUGUCGUGGCUCAGUGGUUAACGAAUCUGACUAGGAACCAUGAGGUUGCGGGUUCAAUCCCUGGCCUUGCUCAGUGGGUUAAGAAUCUGGCGUUGCUGUGAGCUGUGGUGUAGGCCGCAGACAUGGCUCAGAUCCCGAGUUGCUUUGGCUCUGGCGUAGGCCAGCCACUACAGCUCCAAUUAGACCCCUAGCCUGGAACCUCCAUAUGCCACAGGAAUGGCUCUAGAAGUGGCAAAAA